Molecule: long non-coding RNA, 976 nt
Filed under: Homo sapiens (human)
Lineage: Eukaryota; Metazoa; Chordata; Mammalia; Primates; Hominidae
Description: non-protein coding lnc-ADTRP-5:2
Source: RNAcentral
CUGGGUUUAACUUUUAAUUUUAAAAACAAAAAAGCAGAAACCAAAAGCCUCCUAGGUUGGAAGUGGGCGUGAGAGGAAAUGCUAGAGGGAGGCGCUUCAUUCCCCGGGCUGCCUGUGCCCCCCUUUCUGGCCCCUGCCCGGGGCUUUGAUGUUAUCUAGUGCACCGCCUCCAUCGGUUUCUACCUUGGGCUCUGCGCCGCCGAGAAGAUAGACAGAUCUUCCGCACUUCACUUGCAGGUUCUGAGAGAGGCAAGCAGGUAGUCGCGGGAAAGGACCCACACUCCUUAGCCCCGCAGUGAGAGAGGAACAUUUGCACGGGCUUCCUGUUGCUACCUGGACUGAAAUGAACAAUCCACCCCUCUAGUGAUCCUGGAGACUUGCACCGUAUGGUCUUUCCUGCUAGACGCACAGCGGGAGGCCUCCUACAUUAGAUUCAUUUUCCCUCCACCCGUAGCACAAACUUGUAAGAUGGUGGUGGAGUAUGUUUCCUGAGGCUUUGUUCGGGUUUUAGAUCUCAGUUUGGAAGAUUACUAAUAAAGAAGGACGGCAGUGUCUAGCAAUCAGCCUUACCUGUGCCUCCACUUUACACCAACAGAAGCUUGUGUUCAGGCCUUGCCCUCUGGAAGAUUACAAAUUAAUGGAGACAGGAUAAACACAUGGAAAAAUACCUAGAGGGAAAAAAAGAUAUAAGAGGCUUAUAAACAGAGCCAAUUAAAGUUAUACAGUUAUUUACAUGAUCGCUGAGAGGCUUCUGCUUGAGUAGAGGACGGGGUGAGCAGAGUCCCAUCCUGGGGGUGAGUUCUCAGUGGGAUAUUGAAGGAGAGAAAGUUCACGAUUUGGCAGUGGUGGAAGUACAGCAUUCUAGAGGAGGGAAAUAACUUGAAGGUGAGAGCAAGUGAACUGUGUGUGAUGGUUUUUCCACCGAGAGCAGAAAGUCUAAGCAAAUGGGAAACAAGUAACACCCAUGCCAGGACAC